GACGAACGCUGGCGGCGUGCCUAAUACAUGCAAGUUGAGCGCUGAAGGUUGGUACUUGUACCCACUGGAUGAGCAGCGAACGGGUGAGUAACGCGUGGGGAAUCUGCCUUUGAGCGGGGGACAACAUUUGGAAACGAAUGCUAAUACCGCAUAAAAACUUUAAACACAAGUUUUAAGUUUGAAAGAUGCAAUUGCAUCACUCAAAGAUGAUCCCGCGUUGUAUUAGCUAGUUGGUGAGGUAAAGGCUCACCAAGGCGAUGAUACAUAGCCGACCUGAGAGGGUGAUCGGCCACAUUGGGACUGAGACACGGCCCAAACUCCUACGGGAGGCAGCAGUAGGGAACCUUCGGCAAUGGAAGAAAGUCUGACCGAGCAACGCCGCGUGAGUGAAGAAGGUUUUCGGAUCGUAAAACUCUGUUGGUAGAGAAGAACGUUGGUGAGAGUGGAAAGCUCAUCAAGUGACGGUAACUACCCAGAAAGGGACGGCUAACUACGUG
Molecule: ribosomal RNA, 497 nt
Filed under: uncultured bacterium
Lineage: Bacteria
Description: partial 16S ribosomal RNA
Rfam family: Bacterial small subunit ribosomal RNA
Source: RNAcentral